GUUGUGGUCUAGCUUGCAUGGUAUGAACAUGCAUGCAGCUUCAGUUCAAGGACUCUGGUAUAGCCGGGGAUUACAACACUUCGCAUGUAUAUGCAUAUAAUUAUGUAUAAUUAUAUAUAGUGUGGAAUAAAACAACUUACAGCUAUAGAUUCUGAAGUUGUCAGUAUCAUAUCCUUGAAACUGUAUUUGGAUACAAAGAUGAAGACCUUUAUUUUGUUGAGCAUCAUUGCCAUGGUAGCCAUGGUGUCUGCUGCACCUACUGUCAAUAAUGGUGGGCUGAAGACUGCAUUAGAGAUAGCAGUCAAGCAAGUGGCAGUAGGUGCAGAUGUGGGUAAGAUUCACCAGGGGGGUAUCUGUUGCCUGUUUAUAUUGCCGUGUUGCACCAGUGGAUAAUGUUGCGGACUUCUAUAUUGAACUGGAAAGACACAAAUGGACUAACUUGAAACUGUGACUGUAUAAUUGUAUAAUUAUGUAGCAUACCUGAUUUAGUAUAUCUUUUGUAGACUGAGUAAAUAAAGUUCUUUACAAUGCUGAAUGUUGUCCUGGCAUAAUUUUAAUUUUAUAAAGUGAA
This is a long non-coding RNA of Halichondria panicea, 571 nucleotides long. RefSeq lists it as uncharacterized. NCBI's taxonomy places the organism in Eukaryota, Metazoa, Porifera, Demospongiae, Suberitida, Halichondriidae. The transcript has 2 exons. The record is from RefSeq and is a predicted model, not a curated record.